Molecule: ribosomal RNA, 512 nt
Filed under: uncultured bacterium
Lineage: Bacteria
Description: bacterial SSU rRNA
Rfam family: Bacterial small subunit ribosomal RNA
Source: RNAcentral
GAACGAACGCUGGCGGCGUGCUUAACACAUGCAAGUCGAACGCGAAAGGGACUUCGGUCCUGAGUAAAGUGGCGCACGGGUGAGUAACGCGUAGAUAACCUGUCUUCAUGUCUGGAAUAAUACGCCGAAAGGGGUACUAAUACCGGAUAUUCUUGCUUUUCAUAAGUUAUGCAAGCAAAGGUGGCCUCUGCAUAUGCUACUGCAUGAAGAGGGGUCUGCGUACCAUUAGCUAGUAGGUGGGGUAAUGGCCUACCUAGGCGACGAUGGUUAGCGGGUCUGAGAGGAUGAUCCGCCACACUGGCACUGGAACACGGGCCAGACUCCUACGGGAGGCAGCAGUGAGGAAUAUUGCGCAAUGGGGGAAACCCUGACGCAGCGACGCCGCGUGAGUUGAGGAAGGCCUUCGGGUCGUAAAGCUCUGUCAAGAGGAAAGAAGUGUACAAUGGCUAAUACCUGUUGUAUUUGACGGUACCUCUAAAGGAAGCACCGGCUAACUCCGUGCCAGCCGCCGC